UAUCCUGGCUCAGAUUGAACGCUGGCGGCAUGCCUUACACAUGCAAGUCGAACGGUAACAGGUCUUCGGAUGCUGACGAGUGGCGAACGGGUGAGUAAUACAUCGGAACGUGCCUAGUAGUGGGGGAUAACUACUCGAAAGAGUGGCUAAUACCGCAUGAGAUCUACGGAUGAAAGCAGGGGAUCGCAAGACCUUGUGCUACUAGAGCGGCCGAUGGCAGAUUAGGUAGUUGGUGGGAUAAAAGCUUACCAAGCCGACGAUCUGUAGCUGGUCUGAGAGGACGAUCAGCCACACUGGGACUGAGACACGGCCCAGACUCCUACGGGAGGCAGCAGUGGGGAAUUUUGGACAAUGGGCGCAAGCCUGAUCCAGCAAUGCCGCGUGCAGGAUGAAGGCCUUCGGGUUGUAAACUGCUUUUGUACGGAACGAAAAGCCCUGGGUUAAUACCCUGGGGUCAUGACGGUACCGUAAGAAUAAGCACCGGCUAACUACGUG
This 495-nucleotide ribosomal RNA is filed under the name uncultured Comamonas sp. RNAcentral's name for it is "bacterial SSU rRNA". It matches the Rfam family "Bacterial small subunit ribosomal RNA", at positions 15 to 507 of the family's 1533-position model. The record is from RNAcentral. Lineage: Bacteria; Pseudomonadati; Pseudomonadota; Betaproteobacteria; Burkholderiales; Comamonadaceae.